ACCUCGGGGCGCAGCAGUGGGGGAUAUUGCACAAUGGGGGGAACCCUGAUGCAGCGGCGCCGCGUGGGUGAAGAAGCGCCUCGGCGCGUAAAGCCCUGUCAGCAGGGAAGAAAAUGACGGUACCUGAAGAAGAAGCCCCGGCUAACUACGUGCCAGCAGCCGCGGUAAUACGUAGGGGGCAAGCGUUAUCCGGAUUUACUGGGUGUAAAGGGGGCGUAGGCGGGAAUGCAAGUUGAAUGUUUAAACUAUGGGCUCAACCCAUAGUCGCGUUCAAAACUGCAUUUCUUGAGUGGAGUAGAGGCAGG
RNAcentral lists this ribosomal RNA (305 nucleotides) under uncultured bacterium. Its description in RNAcentral is "bacterial SSU rRNA". It matches the Rfam family "Bacterial small subunit ribosomal RNA", at positions 337 to 661 of the family's 1533-position model. The record is from RNAcentral.